RNAcentral lists this long non-coding RNA (324 nucleotides) under Brassica rapa (field mustard). Its description in RNAcentral is "long non-coding RNA (BRAP_LNC003394)". The record is from RNAcentral. Lineage: Eukaryota; Viridiplantae; Streptophyta; Magnoliopsida; Brassicales; Brassicaceae.
GCCAAUCAGCAAUGGUGGUCUCUUCCUAUCUGGAUAAAUCCGUUCUACCUGAUAACCCGAUUUGACCGUGUAUUUUCCAUUUUUUGUGAAGUGCCACCCAUCUCUGUCUACCCUCUGAAUCCUGCUCAGUGGUAAACUUUCUAUAAGUUUCGCAUCCUGUGGAUCCACCAAUAACUGAAUUGCCUGUGAGUUCCAAGUACGUGAGGUAGAGUCAAUGAGAGACUCCACUGUAAGACUCCACUGUUGAUUUUUAUUUGCUGGUCUCGGGCGAGUGGUUGGGAGCCAUGGAUCAUUCCAUACAGAUAUGGAAGAACCUGAUCCCAC